RNAcentral lists this unclassified non-coding RNA (346 nucleotides) under uncultured fungus. RNAcentral's name for it is "sequence contains ITS1". The stretch from base 1 to 103 matches the Rfam family "5.8S ribosomal RNA", at positions 50 to 154 of the family's 154-position model. Lineage: Eukaryota; Fungi. The record is from RNAcentral.
GAAGUGCGAUAAGCAAUGCGAAUUGCAGAACCGUGAGUCAUCAGAUUUUUGAACGCAACUGGCGCCGACUGGAUAUCCAGUCGGCAUGCUUGUUUCAGUGUCUUGUUUUCUCCUCACCUAAAUCUUAAUGCGAGAGAUACCCUUCUUUCGUUAAACAAGAAAGCACUCUGUGCUCCUGCGUGCGGUUUCUUGGAUUCGUUCAAGGAUCGCACUCAAUGCAGUCGUCACAUUGCUCACAAUGUGAACUCAUUGAGAGCAGGAGGGCAGUACAGCGAAAGCUGUCAGCGCUUAGAUACUCAAACUUUCUUUGCAUCUGAAAUCAAGCAGGAUCACCCGCUGAACUUAA